RNAcentral lists this unclassified non-coding RNA (1133 nucleotides) under Dermacentor andersoni. RNAcentral describes it as "cyclin-D1-binding protein 1 homolog". The record is from RNAcentral. Lineage: Eukaryota; Metazoa; Arthropoda; Arachnida; Ixodida; Ixodidae.
CACUGAGAUUACUAUGUCUUGUCCAGUGGAGGCGGUUUAGUUUGACUCUUGCGUGCGUUCGUGAUCGAGGAGCUUUGUUAUUGUUGGCAGUUUCUCGCAAUUAUGGCUCAGGAAGACCCAGUUAAGGACCUGAAAGACACUUUGCAAGAAAUAUGUUGCCAAUUACAAGAGGAUCAGGUGCCGCACGAAGUUGUCGAAGGCUUCAUCCUGGAAGAGUUCCUGCCGAGACUUGCCUAUGCAGUUGAAAAAAUUGGCCUCAAUGCCAAGAGAAUCUGCCUUGCCUUUGUGGAGCCACCAGCUCCAACCCCUUUGGAAGUGGCUGGCCUGAUUGCCCGUAUGAAAGCGGCCUGCUUAGAAGUUCUGUCAAUCUUUGCUGAGCUGCCACGAUGUCAAGGUCGGACGCUGAGAAAGGAGGUUGCAGACCAUCUGCGUGAACUGUACGAUGCUGUUAAGGAUUUCGUUUCAGGCAUCGGCCCAGAGAGUGAUUCUUGCCUUCAAGUGGCUGGUAAAUUGUGGGAAAAAUGUGAUGCCAUAAAAAGGAUCUCCAAAGACAACAAAGAAGCUGUUUGUUCUGUUCUUGCAAGCCACUAUGAGUUCAUUCAAGAUGCGGUUGACGAGCUUCGUGAGUCAAUGGAUGAAGAUGAAGCUCUGGCAGUGGAUAUGCCACGUAUGCCUGUUCGCAAUGGCUUCAACCAAACUCGUGCUUUCACUUGGUCUGGAGAGGACAGGGAGUUGCUUAUCCCAGGCAUGGGACUCGUGAAGACAGUCCGCAUUACUAUGCGCAAAGUGAGCGCUGUUGUGAAUUCUCGUGGCCGGUGCAUAAACAUGCAGGAGAACACAGACCUGGACAGAAUAGCCGAUCUGUUUCAGACAUCUAGCUCAUUCAUGGAUGACUUCAUCACAUCCCUCUACCCUCCUCUCUUUGCAACCGCUGUCCAAGAAAGCGGGAAGCCUAAUAAUUUGUUCCCGGGCCCUGUGGUAAUGUGAAAAUGCAAAAAUUGUUCCGCACAACACAUUGAAAAAAAAAAAAAAAUGUUUUCAAUGUAUUUACCAAGGAAUGAGAACAUUCAAGAUCGAGAGAGAGAUGGUCAAAGAAGGGCACUGCACUGAAGGGACAUGUACUUGCCAUGCUG